GAUGAACGCUGGCGGCGUGCCUAAUACAUGCAAGUCGAGCGAACAGACGAGGAGCUUGCUCCUCUGACGUUAGCGGCGGACGGGUGAGUAACACGUGGAUAACCUACCUAUAAGACUGGGAUAACUUCGGGAAACCGGAGCUAAUACCGGAUAAUAUAUUGAACCGCAUGGUUCAAUAGUGAAAGACGGUUUUGCUGUCACUUAUAGAUGGAUCCGCGCCGCAUUAGCUAGUUGGUAAGGUAACGGCUUACCAAGGCAACGAUGCGUAGCCGACCUGAGAGGGGGAUCGGCCACACUGGAACUGAGCCACGGUCCAGCCUCCUACGGGAGGCAGCAGUAGGGAAUCUUCCGCAAUGGGCGAAAGCUGGACGGAGCAACGCCGCGUGAGUGAUGAAGGUCUUCGGAUCGUAAAACUCUGUUAUUAGGGAAGAACAAAUGUGUAAGUAACUAUGCACGUCUUGACGGUACCUAAUCAGAAAGCCACGGCUAACUACGUG
RNAcentral lists this ribosomal RNA (497 nucleotides) under uncultured bacterium. RNAcentral describes it as "partial 16S ribosomal RNA". It matches the Rfam family "Bacterial small subunit ribosomal RNA", at positions 28 to 507 of the family's 1533-position model. The record is from RNAcentral.